RNAcentral lists this ribosomal RNA (1499 nucleotides) under Listeria monocytogenes. RNAcentral describes it as "partial 23S ribosomal RNA". It matches the Rfam family "Bacterial large subunit ribosomal RNA", at positions 1 to 1492 of the family's 2925-position model. The record is from RNAcentral. Lineage: Bacteria; Bacillati; Bacillota; Bacilli; Caryophanales; Listeriaceae.
UUGGUUAAGUUAGAAAGGGCGCACGGUGGAUGCCUUGGCACUAGGAGCCGAAGAAGGACGGGACUAACACCGAUAUGCUUUGGGGAGCUGUACGUAAGCGUUGAUCCAGAGAUUUCCGAAUGGGGGAACCCACUAUCUUUAGUCGGAUAGUAUCCUUACGUGAAUACAUAGCGUGAGGAAGGCAGACCCAGGGAACUGAAACAUCUAAGUACCUGGAGGAAGAGAAAGAAAAAUCGAUUUCCUGAGUAGCGGCGAGCGAAACGGAAAGAGCCCAAACCAAGAAGCUUGCUUCUUGGGGUUGUAGGACACUCUAUACGGAGUUACAAAAGAAAGUUAUAAAUGAAGCGGUCUGGAAAGGCCCGCCAAAGACGGUAACAGCCCGGUAGUUGAAAUGGCUUUCCCUCCAGAGUGGAUCCUGAGUACGGCGGAACACGUGAAAUUCCGUCGGAAUCCGGGAGGACCAUCUCCCAAGGCUAAAUACUCCCUAGUGACCGAUAGUGAACCAGUACCGUGAGGGAAAGGUGAAAAGCACCCCGGAAGGGGAGUGAAACAGUUCCUGAAACCGUGUGCCUACAAGUAGUUAGAGCCCGUUAAUGGGUGAUAGCGUGCCUUUUGUAGAAUGAACCGGCGAGUUACGAUUUGUUGCAAGGUUAAGCGGAAAAAGCGGAGCCGUAGCGAAAGCGAGUCUGAAUAGGGCGCAUAAGUAACAGGUCGUAGACCCGAAACCAGGUGAUCUACCCAUGUCCAGGAUGAAGGUAAGGUAAUACUUACUGGAGGUCCGAACCCACGCACGUUGAAAAGUGCGGGGAUGAGGUGUGGGUAGCGGAGAAAUUCCAAUCGAACUUGGAGAUAGCUGGUUCUCUCCGAAAUAGCUUUAGGGCUAGCCUCGAGGUAAAGAGUCAUGGAGGUAGAGCACUGUUUGGACUAGGGGCCCUUCUCGGGUUACCGAAUUCAGAUAAACUCCGAAUGCCAUGUACUUAUACUCGGGAGUCAGACUGCGAGUGAUAAGAUCCGUAGUCGAAAGGGAAACAGCCCAGACCACCAGUUAAGGUCCCCAAAUAUAUGUUAAGUGGAAAAGGAUGUGGGGUUGCUUAGACAACCAGGAUGUUGGCUUAGAAGCAGCCACCAUUGAAAGAGUGCGUAAUAGCUCACUGGUCGAGUGACCCCGCGCCGAAAAUGUACCGGGGCUAAACAUAUUACCGAAACUGUGGAUGAACCUCUUUAGAGGUUCGUGGUAGGAGAGCGUUCUAAGGGCGGUGAAGUCAGACCGGAAGGACUGGUGGAGCGCUUAGAAGUGAGAAUGCCGGUAUGAGUAGCGAAAGAAGGGUGAGAAUCCCUUCCACCGAAUAUCUAAGGUUUCCUGAGGAAGGCUCGUCCGCUCAGGGUUAGUCGGGACCUAAGCCGAGGCCGAUAGGCGUAGGCGAUGGACAACAGGUAGAGAUUCCUGUACCAGUGCUAAUUGUUUAACCGAUGGGGUGACACAGAAGGAUAGGGAAUCG